RNAcentral lists this ribosomal RNA (543 nucleotides) under uncultured bacterium. Its description in RNAcentral is "partial 16S ribosomal RNA". It matches the Rfam family "Bacterial small subunit ribosomal RNA", at positions 355 to 914 of the family's 1533-position model. The record is from RNAcentral.
UGGGGAAUAUUGCACAAUGGGCGAAAGCCUGAUGCAGCAACGCCGCGUGAGUGAUGAAGGCCUUCGGGUUGUAAAGCUCUGUCUUUUGGGACGAUAAUGACGGUACCAAAGGAGGAAGCCGCGGCUAACUACGUGCCAGCAGCCGCGGUAAUACGUAGGUGGCAAGCGUUGUCCGGAUUUACUGGGCGUAAAGGAUGCGUAGGCGGAUUUUUAAGUGAGAUGUGAAAUACCCGGGCUUAACUUGGGUGCUGCAUUUCAAACUGGGAAUCUAGAGUGCGGGAGAGGAGAAUGGAAUUCCUAGUGUAGCGGUGAAAUGCGUAGAGAUUAGGAAGAACACCAGUGGCGAAGGCGAUUCUCUGGACCGUAACUGACGCUGAGGCAUGAAAGCGUGGGUAGCAAACAGGAUUAGAUACCCUGGUAGUCCACGCCGUAAACGAUGAGUACUAGGUGUAGGAGGUAUCGACCCCUUCUGUGCCGCAGUUAACACAAUAAGUACUCCGCCUGGGAAGUACGAUCGCAAGAUUAAAACUCAAAUGAAUUGAC